UGACGACCCAUUCAUUUACUCUCCCUGCUUCCAACAGACCAAUGAAUGUCGCCUUUGUUCGGUGAAGUGACAUGACAUUCUCGAAGAGAAUCCAGAAAAUGAUAAGGUGGAAUGAUCUGCAAAGGAUUAUCAAUCAAAACUAAAGGCAAGACGACCACCUUGGAGUUCCAACUGCAUUUAGCAGGGUGAUCGUAGAAGGAAUAUAUACAGCUCCCCAUUUUGGUACCGAUACUUCAGGAACCAAGACUGUAGCUGGCAAAAUGACACAAUAAAAGACAAACGUGACGAUAUGGGCAACGAUCUUUCGAACGAAGAAGAAGCUGUAGAUCAGGUAAAGCUUCUUCCACAGGGAGACUUUCUGCAGGUACACAGAAAGCUAAUGGUGAGAUACAUAAAAGAAAAUGCAACAAAUGAAACCAACAUAUCCAAGGAAUACACGAAACAUGCCUUGUUCCUCAUGAUUUCAAUGACCAUCUUUUUCAAGAGGUUUGCUGGGCCACAAGACCACCGGUGUUGCUGAUACCGAUAAGCUUUGAAGGUACUAGGCAAUUCAUUCUUUACCUGAAACAACUCAUCUACAUUUAUCAUUGCUUAACAACUGAAAAAGCUAGCAAGAUUAAUCCCAUUCCCCAUUUUUACAAUCAUAUAGACUAGAAGUACCCAACCCACAAAAGGUGGUCCUCUUUAUAAGGUUAAGGUUCUUAGAUUCAAACUCCCUAGUGAAAAAAGGCUUAACCAUUUAGGUUUGAGCCCCAACUUGAUUCGAGUGGGUGGGCAUUAUAGCCCACUCAAUAUUUGGGUCUCAUUAUAAGAUUGAAAAUUCUCAAUUAUUAUAA
Long non-coding RNA from Cucumis sativus (cucumber), 836 nucleotides. RefSeq lists it as uncharacterized. NCBI's taxonomy places the organism in Eukaryota, Viridiplantae, Streptophyta, Magnoliopsida, Cucurbitales, Cucurbitaceae. The record is from RefSeq and is a predicted model, not a curated record. The transcript is spliced from 2 exons.